ACAACGCUGGCGGCAGGCUACACAUGCAGUCGAACGGAUCCUUCGGGAUUAGUGGCAGACGGGUGAGUAACGCGUGGGAAGCUACCUUGUGGUAGGGAACAACAGUUGGAAACGACUGCUAAUACCCUAUGAGCCCUAUGGGGGAAAGAUUUAUCGCCAUGAGAUGUGCCCGCGUUAGAUUAGCUAGUUGGUAAGGUAAUGGCUUACCAAGGCGACGAUCUAUAGCUGGUCUGAGAGGAUGAUCAGCCACACUGGGACUGAGACACGGCCCAGACUCCUACGGGAGGCAGCAGUGGGGAAUAUUGGACAAUGGGGGCAACCCUGAUCCAGCCAUGCCGCGUGUGUGAUGACGGCCUUAGGGUUGUAAAGCACUUUCAGCAGUGAAGAUAAUGACAUUAACUGCAGAAGAAGCCCCGGCUAACUUCGUGCCAGCAGCCGCGGUAAUACGAAGGGGGCUAGCGUUGUUCGGAAUCACUGGGCGUAAAGCGUACGUAGGCGGACUGAUCAGUCAGGGGUGAAAUCCCGGGGCUCAAACCCCGGAACUGCCUUUGAUACUGUCAGUCUUGAGAUCGAGAGAGGUGAGUGGAACUCCGAGUGUAGAGGUGAAAUUCGUAGAUAUUCCGGAAAGAACCACCAGUGGGCGAAAGGGCGGGCUCAACUGGGCUCGAUACUGAACGCUGAGGUACGAAAAGCGUGGGGAAGCAAACCGGGAUUUAGAUACCCUGGGUUAGUCCACGCCCGUAAACGAUGAAUGCUAAGUUGUCAGGUAGCUGCAAUUGGUGAACGCAGCUAACGCAUUAAGCUUCCGCUUGGGAA
This 816-nucleotide ribosomal RNA is filed under the name Pseudovibrio sp. Mm37. Its description in RNAcentral is "bacterial SSU rRNA". It matches the Rfam family "Bacterial small subunit ribosomal RNA", at positions 29 to 879 of the family's 1533-position model. Lineage: Bacteria; Pseudomonadati; Pseudomonadota; Alphaproteobacteria; Hyphomicrobiales; Stappiaceae. The record is from RNAcentral.